This 3415-nucleotide long non-coding RNA is filed under the name Mytilus galloprovincialis (Mediterranean mussel). The record is from RNAcentral. Lineage: Eukaryota; Metazoa; Mollusca; Bivalvia; Mytilida; Mytilidae.
CCGAAUAAUCCAGUCUUUAUAUACGAUCACUUCGAUCACUUCAUGAACCAUUUCCUCGAGAAAAGUAGUGGAUAGGGGGCGCUGAAUUAUUCGAGUUAGUACAUGGAGGAAAGGUCUGUUUCGAAUGUUAUUCAAAGAUUAGGAGCGACGAUUCAAUGUCCGUUUGUGUAUUGUAUUUGUCGUGGUUGAAACGGCACCAGGAACAUAUCAGGAUAGACAACAGAAGUUUGUAAGUAUUUAUUUUAUGUAUUUAUAUAUUAACAUAGAUAUUAUAAGCCUUUCAUGCCUUCUGUUGACAAAUUUUCAUAACUAUGCACUGUUUUAGUAGACCACAGAUGUCCUUUUCGAACUAAAAGAACCUCCCUGAAAAAACACACCUCAGUCGAAUCUUUCUUCUCAAAUGAAUGCCCGAAUGGUCAUCAAAUUAAUACUUGUUAUGGGCAGGCAUUUUCGAAUAAUUUUUAAAAAAAUGUAUUAAUUCUGACUGCAAGGAAUUUUAAAUGGUAAAUAAUAUACAUUGUAUCUCGAGGGAAAUGUACACACUUUAACAACAGUAAAUUUUUCAUAAAUAUUAUAUAAAAUAGUAAAAGUGUAGCAUAUAUAUCAUGUGUAUUAACGAUUAAACUCUGGAAGAAAUAUAGUCCAGCAUGAAUACAAAUUAAAGGGUCCUUUCAGGAAAAAAAAUUUCUCAGAAAGGUAUCUCUUUCUUCAGAGGUUUAUAUGACGACGUUGAUGUCUGUUGUGCAGUGAUUUGGGUUUUUUUUUCGCCUGUAUGCGAGACAUGGCAUGGUAGGUAUUGCAACCAAGCAACGGCGGCGACGAUGGUGUACACUAUUUGUUUGAAGCAUUAUAUUUUAUAAGUUAGACAAUCUAAAUGCUUCAUACCUUAUGUUACGAAAUUUCCGUCUGUCAUAUGUCAUUGUCCCGGCAACCUCAUUUUCAUGGUUCAGUAACUGCUUGAUACAUUUUGUUUUGUUAAAUGAAAAACUCACUUAUUAUGAGUAAUAUGAUAACUUUGUUUGGUAUAUGGGUUCCUAGCAACAUUUACAUGUUCGUCAGCUAGGUACAUGUAGGGUUAACCUGACCUCGACCUUAUUCCAUGGAUCAGUUAUCAAAAAUAAAGUAACUUAAGCAAGACCGUAUCUAGAUACUAUAACUAGUAAGUCAUCUAUAUUUGGUGUAUGGAUUAUUGAAAAUGAUUGUAAGGUGUACAUAUCCACCCGACAGGUUCCGUCUGACCUUGGCCUCAAUUUCAUGGUUCAUUGGCCAAUGUAUAGUGUUUGUGGUUUGGUCUAUUUCUCAGAUACUUUAAGCAGUAGGACCACUAUAUAGGGUGUAUCAUGUAUGGAAUCAUUGUCAGCUGGAAAUGUCCGUCUGACAGGUCUCAAUUGACUUCGACUUCAUUUUUAUGGUUCAUUGGACAAUUUUUAGUUGUGUCAUACAUUGUAGUUGUGCAUUGAUAAAGUUAAGUAUACCUGAUAAUUGUACUAAAGACUUUCAAUAUGAUUUCAAUGAUAAGUAAGACAAAGGCGAGACAUUUGCACUCAUAUUUUGGUAAUAAAAUGUGUAAAGUGUUGACUAAAGUACAUGUACCUAAAUUUCAAUAUAUUUUUGUAUCAGAGUGCUGAACGCGCAUCUUUAACGUUUUGAGAGGAAAAUGAAUAUUUUGUUGAAGGGAGAAUGUGUUGGGUACAUUACUCACAUUUUUACCUGAGGAAGCUGCUGUUCCUUUUGGAACAUGUCUUACUUGUUUUCUGGUAUGUUAAAUGGGAUAGGUAAAAGUAUUGUUAACACCAGUCCUGUGUUUUGUUUAAGACUUAAUGAAACCUGAUUUUAAUUGUUAUUUGUGUAUUCAGUUCGCUGUCUCCUAGGCAUGAACCACUCAUCUGUUUUAAGACUCUAUGAUUGAUUGAUUGAUUGAUCAUGACUGGCUGAAUGUCCAAUGGCAAAUAUUACAUGCAUAUUCAGGAAGUUGGGAAUGAUACAUGCCAAUCCUGAUAAAAAAUAUGAAAUAUGCCUGAAGAAAAAACAAUAACAGAGUAAGUGUUCCUGCAUUUUAAACUUUAAAUAUUUCUUGUAGAGUGAGAAAACUGUUAUGAAACACCAGCAAAAAGACUAGAUUGUUAUUCAGUCCUGACUUAUUCAGUGUCUCUGAAGAUGAAGAUUAGGUAUGUAAUAAUGAGGUUUUAAUUUGAUAGAUUGUUGACUUUUAAAUUGUAAAAGUUUAAUGAGUUACUGUAAGUUAAUCCAUUUAUUGUAUAAAUUAAAAUUCAAUAAUUACUGUUCAAGUGCAUAGCAUAGCCAUCUUUAUCUUGCUGUAUCCAGAGGCAAUAGAUAUAAGAAGAUGUGGUAUAGGUGCCAAUGAGACAACUCUCCAUCCAAGUCACAAUUUAUAAGAGUAAAUCAUUAUAGGUCAAAGUACGGACUUCAACACAGAGGAAGACUAUUAUUAAUUACAAUAAAAGAGAGUGAAUAAUAUUAUAUAAGCAAAAUGGACAUCAUAAGUAAGAUUAAAAGAAAGACAGACAAUUUCUUUAUCAAAGAUUAUAAAUUUUGGUAUGGUUACUAAAAAUAUUUGAAAUUGUUUUGAAUUUGUCGUUAUUUCUUUCAGAUCAGGCCUAUCCAGAAGCAAGAAAAAAGACAAUUUUUAGCACGUGCAUCUACAGAGAGAGACAUGUUUUAAAAAACAGAUAUAUUUUCAAUUUAAGAAAAACCUGUUGAACUUUUACUAUUUCUUAUCUGUUUAUUUUACAUUUAUAUAUUGAUAUUUUAUUUUUUUUUUUAAAUUGCUGCACAGUAUUUCUAUUCAGUCCCACAUAACAAAAUCAGCUGAAGAAAUUGAUGUUUUCAUAUUUCAAGGGAGUGUCCUUUUGCAUUGUUGAUAGCAGAUAUAUGCAUUGUCUUAAGUUGGGUUUAUAAACAGUCACAUCGCAACUUCAAAUAAAAUACAUUUUUAUGAAUCUUACAUGUAAAAUAGACAUGAAAGAUAGAAAAUUAUAUAGGAACACAUUUUUUUCUGACCUAAAUGUAUUUCAAGGUAAAAUUAUGUGAACAUAUCAAAUAUUAUCAAAAACACCGCUGGUUUAAAAUAAAAUUAUUCUAUGUAGCCUAAACAAAUCAUACAGAUCAGUGUAUUUUUUCCUAAACAAAUUUUAUAUAUUUUUAUAACCAGAAUAAAUUUAUUCUGUGUCUCAACCUUAACAUAAUUACUGUACUAUCAAAAUAAAUUUAUUUUAUAUAUCAUAAUACUUUUAAUCCACAUUGAAUGUAGAAUAAGUUUAUUCUGUGUCUCCACCUUAAUAUAAUAACUGUACUUUCAGAAUAAAUUUAUUUUAUAUAUUAUUAUACAAGACAAAAAUCACAUUGAACAUAGAAUAAUUUUAUUCUGUGUCUCAACCUCACCAUACAGAUUACU